This is a long non-coding RNA of Triticum aestivum (bread wheat), 798 nucleotides long. RefSeq lists it as uncharacterized. NCBI's taxonomy places the organism in Eukaryota, Viridiplantae, Streptophyta, Magnoliopsida, Poales, Poaceae. The transcript is spliced from 2 exons. The record is from RefSeq and is a predicted model, not a curated record.
GGCCGGUUGUAGAGGAAGCCCAACAUGGGUGGAGCACCGUGGAACUCGCGGUAGCGGCCGCGGAAGGCGGGUCCGGUGAGGAGGCCGAACCAGGGCUUGCUGACGAGGGAGGCCCGCACGAGCGCCGCGGGCUCGUCCGGCGGAAGGCGGAGGAAGACCUCCUCCACUAGCUCGUCCGGCAGCGACGUCAUGGUCGGCCUGUCAGUGGAGGCGAGGUGGGGGAUUCGGUAGGCGAAGAGCUUGAUCUGGCGUCGACUGCUCGGGUUCAGCUCAGUGACAAAUGGAGAAGCUAGCCAGUUUUUCUCAGUGGAGUUUGAGCACAAUGGAGUUUUCUUGGGGGAAUGCAUAGGUGGAGAAUUGAAGUUCUCUUACAUUGGGUGCAGUCAUGAAGCUUUUGACUACUGUCAUUCAGACACAUGGUCACUGGGGAUGAUCAAGUAUUGCUUGUCAAGGAUGGACUAUGACCCCACAGACCCUCAAAUCAAGGUGUACUGGAUUUUGCCAGAUAAAGACUAUGGUGAUGGCCUGCUAUGUGUGGACAAUCCAGAUGUUAUAGCUGCUAUGGUGAGGUCCAGCAGAGAAGCCAAGACAUUGGAUUUGUUAGUUGAUGAGGAGAACAAGAUUCAGACAUUAUAUCCUGAAAUCAUACUAAAAGGAUGCCCAACUGCAGAUGGAAAUGAGGAUGAAGAACAAGGAGAGGAUGCAUGUAACGCCCCGGAUACAACUUUCCAUAUUCGUAACUCCGACUCUUGCCUUUUCCGGAGAUGCUAUAUGAUAUUUCCUCCGUGGUUGAGUUUU